RNAcentral lists this ribosomal RNA (253 nucleotides) under uncultured bacterium. Its description in RNAcentral is "partial 16S ribosomal RNA". It matches the Rfam family "Bacterial small subunit ribosomal RNA", at positions 524 to 776 of the family's 1533-position model. The record is from RNAcentral.
UACGAAGGGGGCUAGCGUUGCUCGGAAUCACUGGGCGUAAAGCGCACGUAGGCGGGUCGUUAAGUCGGGGGUGAAAUCCUGGAGCUCAACUCCAGAACUGCCUUCGAUACUGGCGAUCUUGAGUCUGGGAGAGGUGAGUGGAACUCCGAGUGUAGAGGUGAAAUUCGUAGAUAUUCGGAAGAACCCCAGUGGCGAAGGCGGCUCACUGGCCCGGUACUGACGCUGAGACGCGAAAGCGUGGGGAGCAAACAGG